GUAGGUGGCAAGCGUUGUCCGGGAAUUAUUGGGGCGUAAAGCGCGCGCAGGCGGUUCCUUAAGUCUGAUGUGAAAGCCCCCCGGGCUCAACCGGGGGAGGGGUCAUUGGAAACUGGGGAACUUGAGUGCAGAAGAGGAGAGCGGAAUUCCACGUGUAGCGGUGAAAUGCGUAGAGAUGUGGAGGAACACCAGUGGCGAAGGCGGCUCUCUGGUCUGUAACUGACGCUGAGGCGCGAAAGCGUGGGGAGCGAACAGGAUUAGAUACCCUGGUAGUCCACGCCGUAAACGAUGAGUGCUAAGUGUUAGAGGGUUUCCGCCCUUUAGUGCUGCAGCAAACGCAUUAAGCACUCCGCCUGGGGAGUACGGCCGCAAAGGCUG
This 378-nucleotide ribosomal RNA is filed under the name uncultured organism. RNAcentral's name for it is "partial 16S ribosomal RNA". It matches the Rfam family "Bacterial small subunit ribosomal RNA", at positions 527 to 896 of the family's 1533-position model. The record is from RNAcentral.